AGAGUUUGAUCAUGGCUCAGAAUCAACGCUGGCGGCGCGCCUAACACAUGCAAGUCGAACGAGAAAGCCGCAAGGCAAGUAAAGUGGCGUACGGGUGAGUAACACGUGGAUGAUCUGCCUUUUAGUGGGGAAUACCGUUGGGAAACCGACGACAAUACCGCAUAAGCCCGAGAGGGGAAAGCAGCAAUGCGCUGAAAGAGGAGUCCGCGGUCGAUUAGUUAGUUGGCAGGGUAAGAGCCUACCAAGACAGUGAUCGAUAGCCGGCCUGAGAGGGCACACGGCCACACUGGCACUGAAACACGGGCCAGACUCCUACGGGAGGCAGCAGUGGGGAAUCUUGCACAAUGGGGGAAACCCUGAUGCAGCGACGCCGCGUGAGCGAUGAAGCCCUUCGGGGUGUAAAGCUCUUUCGUCAGGGAAGAUAGUGACGGUACCUGGAGAAGCAGCUGCGGCUAACUACGUGCCAGCAGCCGCGGUAAUACGUAGGCAGCAAGCGUUGUUCGGAGUUACUGGGCGUAAAGGGUGCGUAGGCGGCUGUUUAAGUUUGGUGUGAAAUCUCCCGGCUCAACCGGGAGGGUGCGCCGAAUACUGAGCGGCUAGAGUGCGGGAGAGGAAAGUGGAAUUCCUGGUGUAGCGGUGAAAUGCGUAGAUAUCAGGAGGAACACCGGUGGUGUAAACGGCUUUCUGGACCGUAACUGACGCUGAUGCACGAAAGCGUGGGUAGCAAACAGGAUUAGAUACCCUAGUAGUCC
This 752-nucleotide ribosomal RNA is filed under the name uncultured bacterium. RNAcentral's name for it is "bacterial SSU rRNA". It matches the Rfam family "Bacterial small subunit ribosomal RNA", at positions 8 to 796 of the family's 1533-position model. The record is from RNAcentral.